RNAcentral lists this unclassified non-coding RNA (227 nucleotides) under Fomitopsis palustris. RNAcentral describes it as "ITS1". Lineage: Eukaryota; Fungi; Basidiomycota; Agaricomycetes; Polyporales; Fomitopsidaceae. The record is from RNAcentral.
AAGGAUCAUUAAUGAAUUUUGAAAGGGGUUGUAGCUGGCCGUCUCUUUGGGGCGGCAUGUGCACGCCCUGAUCACUAUCCAUCUCACACACCUGUGCACACACUGUAGGUUGGCUUGUGAUUGGAGCUUACAGUCUUCAUUGACUUUGCUCUGGUUGGAGGCCCUCCUAUGUAUUAUCACAAACUACUUCAGUUUAAAGAAUGUACUCUUGCGUCUAACGCAUUUAA